Molecule: ribosomal RNA, 427 nt
Filed under: uncultured Bifidobacterium sp.
Lineage: Bacteria; Bacillati; Actinomycetota; Actinomycetes; Bifidobacteriales; Bifidobacteriaceae
Description: bacterial SSU rRNA
Rfam family: Bacterial small subunit ribosomal RNA
Source: RNAcentral
GGGAAAGAUUCUAUCGGCGUGGGAUGGGGUCGCGUCCUAUCAGCUUGUUGGUGAGGUAACGGCUCACCAAGGCUUCGACGGGUAGCCGGCCUGAGAGGGCGACCGGCCACAUUGGGACUGAGAUACGGCCCAGACUCCUACGGGAGGCAGCAGUGGGGAAUAUUGCACAAUGGGCGCAAGCCUGAUGCAGCGACGCCGCGUGAGGGAUGGAGGCCUUCGGGUUGUAAACCUCUUUUGUUUGGGAGCAAGCCUUCGGGUGAGUGUACCUUUCGAAUAAGCGCCGGCUAACUACGUGCCAGCAGCCGCGGUAAUACGUAGGGCGCAAGCGUUAUCCGGAUUUAUUGGGCGUAAAGGGCUCGUAGGCGGCUCGUCGCGUCCGGUGUGAAAGUCCAUCGCUUAACGGUGGAUCUGCGCCGGGUACGGGCGG